UAGAGAGAGAGAGAAAGAGAGAGAGAGCAGCGCUAGGCUCCUAUACCAUUUAUAGUAUCGGGGCUCCAAUAAUAUAGUCUUAUUUUCAACCUUAGAAUAUUCAAAUUAAUGAUUCAUACGGUUAAAACUGAUUUAGGGUAUUUGAAGUUUUUAGAAAUGAAAUUUUAUAUUUUUUCGACAUAGUUUACUUUAUGAUCAAAGCGUUUCAAAAUUAUCAAAUUUCAAUGGCUACUAUGGCA
This 239-nucleotide long non-coding RNA is filed under the name Ananas comosus (pineapple). Its description in RNAcentral is "long non-coding RNA (ACOM_LNC020548)". The record is from RNAcentral. Lineage: Eukaryota; Viridiplantae; Streptophyta; Magnoliopsida; Poales; Bromeliaceae.